This 412-nucleotide ribosomal RNA is filed under the name uncultured bacterium. RNAcentral's name for it is "bacterial SSU rRNA". It matches the Rfam family "Bacterial small subunit ribosomal RNA", at positions 341 to 770 of the family's 1533-position model. The record is from RNAcentral.
GCGGGAGGCAGCAGUGGGGAAUAUUGCACAAUGGGGGAAACCCUGAUGCAGCGACGCCGCGUGAGCGAAGAAGUACCUCGGUAUGUAAAGCUCUAUCAGCAGGGAAGAAAGUGACAGUACCUGACUAAGAAGCCCCGGCUAACUACGUGCCAGCAGCCGCGGUAAUACGUAGGGGGCAAGCGUUAUCCGGAUUCACUGGGCGUAAAGGGAGCGCAGGCGGCGCGGCAAGUCUGAUGUGAAAGCCCGGGGCUCAACCCCGGGUCUGCAUUGGAAACUGUCGAGCUAGAGUGUCGGAGGGGUAAGCGGAAUUCCUAGUGUAGCGGUGAAAUGCGUAGAUAUUAGGAGGAACACCAGUGGCGAAGGCGGCUUACUGGACGAUGACUGACGCUGAGGCUCGAAAGCGUGGGGAGCA